GAUGAACGCUGGCGGCGUGCCUAAUACAUGCAAGUCGAGCGAACAGAUGAGGAGCUUGCUCCUCUGACGUUAGCGGCGCACGGGUGAGUAACACGUGGAUAACCUACCUAUAAGACUGGGAUAACUUCGGGAAACCGGAGCUAAUACCGGAUAAUAUCUUGAACCGCAUUGUUCAAUAGUGAAAGACGGUUUUGCUGUCACUUAUAGAUGGAUCCGCGCCGCAUUAGCUAGUUGGUAAGGUAACGGCUUACCAAGGCAACGAUGCGUAGCCGACCUGAGAGGGUGAUCGGCCACACUGGAACUGAGACACGGUCCAGACUCCUACGGGAGGCAGCAGUAGGGAAUCUUCCGCAAAGGGCGAAAGCCUGACGGAGCAACGCCGCGUGAGUGAUGAAGGUCUUCGGAUCGUAAAACUCUGUUAUUAGGGAAGAACAAAUGUGUAAGUAACUAUGCACGUCUUGACGGUACCUAAUCAGAAAGCCACGGCUAACUACGUG
This 497-nucleotide ribosomal RNA is filed under the name uncultured bacterium. RNAcentral's name for it is "partial 16S ribosomal RNA". It matches the Rfam family "Bacterial small subunit ribosomal RNA", at positions 28 to 507 of the family's 1533-position model. The record is from RNAcentral.